Long non-coding RNA from Fukomys damarensis (Damara mole-rat), 467 nucleotides. RefSeq lists it as uncharacterized. The record is from RefSeq and is a predicted model, not a curated record. The transcript is spliced from 3 exons. Lineage: Eukaryota; Metazoa; Chordata; Mammalia; Rodentia; Bathyergidae.
AAUUUUGAUAACAUCUAAUUUAUCAUCUUAUCUCUUAUGACUCAUAUUUCUUGUGCUCUAUUUAAGGUAUCGUUACCAAUCUCAAGACUCCAAAGAUCUUUCUCUGGUGGUUUCCUCCAGAAGUUUUACAGCUUUAGCUUAACAUUUGGAUGUAUGACCCAUUUUGAAUUGAUUUUUGUGUAUGGUGUGUGUUAAAGACCAAAAAAAAAAGUUUCACUUUUUUCCAGACCUUCAGCACAAUAUUGAAGAAAAGUGACAGAAGACAUGUCUUGUUGCUGAUGUUAGGGCUGGAGUGUUCUUUCCUUUCUCAAUCCUCACUCCCCGACUCAGGCAUGUUCGUGUUGUGACGGCUGGACCACCACAAGUGGCGCCUGAACAGGGGCUUGAGUAUUGAGGGAUUCAGUGAAGGACACCGCUGGAUAAAGAAUAAAAGGAGAUCUUGAUGAAAAGAAAAAAGAGGACCUUCA